RNAcentral lists this ribosomal RNA (480 nucleotides) under uncultured bacterium. RNAcentral's name for it is "partial 16S ribosomal RNA". It matches the Rfam family "Bacterial small subunit ribosomal RNA", at positions 28 to 507 of the family's 1533-position model. The record is from RNAcentral.
GAUGAACGCUAGCGGCAGGCCUAACACAUGCAAGUCGAGCGGUAGAAGGAGCUUGCUCCUUUGAGACCGGCGCACGGGUGCGUAACGCGUAUGCAAUCUACCUUGUACAGGGGAAUAGCCCAGAGCAAUUUGGAUUAAUGCCCCAUAGUAUAUAACCUUCGCAUGUUGGUUAUAUUAAAGUUCCAACGGUACAAGAUGAGCAUGCGUCCCAUUAGUUAGUUGGUAAGGUAACGGCUUACCAAGACGAUGAUGGGUAGGGGUCCUGAGAGGGAGAUCCCCCACACGGGUACUGGGACACGGACCAGACGCCUACGGGAGGCAGCAGUGAGGAAUAUGGGUCAAUGGUCGCAAGACUGAACCAGCCAUGCCGGGUGCAGGAAGACGGUCCUAGGGAGUGUAAACUGCUUUUAGACAGGAAGAAACCCUCCCACGUGUGGGAGCUUGACGGUACUGUAGGAAUAAGGAUCGGCUAACUCCGUG